RNAcentral lists this small nuclear RNA (146 nucleotides) under Triticum dicoccoides. Its description in RNAcentral is "snRNA U1". It matches the Rfam family "U1 spliceosomal RNA". Rfam says of the family: U1 is a small nuclear RNA (snRNA) component of the spliceosome (involved in pre-mRNA splicing). The record is from RNAcentral. Lineage: Eukaryota; Viridiplantae; Streptophyta; Magnoliopsida; Poales; Poaceae.
AUACUUACCUGGACGGGGUCGACGGUUGAUCCUAGGCUAGUGGUCCACAUUGCAUUUGGUGGAUGCGUUGGCUUACCAUCUUCCCAAGUGGGAGAGUGGACGUCAUAAUUUGUGGUAGAGGGGGUACGCGUCCGCGUGGCCCCUGC